This 482-nucleotide ribosomal RNA is filed under the name uncultured bacterium. Its description in RNAcentral is "partial 16S ribosomal RNA". It matches the Rfam family "Bacterial small subunit ribosomal RNA", at positions 28 to 507 of the family's 1533-position model. The record is from RNAcentral.
GACGAACGCUGGCGGCGUGCUUAACACAUGCAAGUCGAACGCUGAAGCUCAGCUUGCUGGGUGGAUGAGUGGCGAACGGGUGAGUAACACGUGAGUAACCUGCCCUCUUCUUUGGGAUAACGCCCGGAAACGGGUGCUAAUACUGGAUAUUCACUGAUUCUCGCAUGGGGGUUGGUGGAAAGGUUUUUUCUGGUGGGGGAUGGGCUCGCGGCCUAUCAGCUUGUUGGUGGGGUGAUGGCCUACCAAGGCUUUGACGGAUAGCCGGCCUGAGAGGGUGACCGGUCACAUUGGGACUGAGAUACGGCCCAGACUCCUACGGGAGGCAGCAGUGGGGAAUAUUGCACAAUGGGCGAAAGCCUGAUGCAGCGACGCCGCGUGAGGGAUGGAGGCCUUCGGGUUGUAAACCUCUUUCGCUCAUGGUCAAGCCGCAGCUUUGGGUUGUGGUGAGGGUAGUGGGUAAAGAAGCGCCGGCUAACUACGUG